Molecule: long non-coding RNA, 774 nt
Organism: Engraulis encrasicolus (European anchovy)
Lineage: Eukaryota; Metazoa; Chordata; Actinopteri; Clupeiformes; Engraulidae
Exons: 3
Source: RefSeq, a predicted model, not a curated record
UCUUCCAAAUGAACCAUUUUUUUCAAAACUCUUGCAUGUGAUUGGAUUAAGAAUCUGUCCGUCAUUUUGACUGACACGCCAUUUCAGCCACUCCCGUUGACUCAAUCCGUGACGUAGUUCACAGCGACACCACGCAGGAGGCAAGACUUUUCAUCACAACAAACAUGGCGGCGGCUGGAAGUAAACGGAGUAAACUUUCUAUAAACGAACAUUGCCCUAUAUGCAGGGGAUAUCUAAGGACAAAUGGUAAUAUCUGCAACCGCCCAUGGAUAUUUGAAGAACUUCCCUACGGGAAAGGGUAAACCAGCGCCCAGCUGAACUUGAUCGAAACUUGUGAAACUUCUCCGAAAAAUCCUGUCGCAUGCCUGAAAUGCCUGCUGUAAUUUAACCCAGCGUUCUCAAGGUACAUACGAUGCAGAAAUGCAAAGCAGGGCCAAACAUGCUGCAUUCAAUGGGUACGAAGACGGUGUGAGGAACAACAUAACAGCUCUCUUCCUGGUGGCAGCCAUGGAGCACCUAGGGGCUUCAUUAAGUGUCAGAUAUCCCUGACGGCUUCAUACCUGACCACAUAACCAUGGGCUCUGAAGAGGGGAAAAAAAAGGAACAGGCUACAUCCGGUAGUGGCCCGGGUGGUCAACAAAUGCCAUUUUCCACAUGCAGUCCAGGAGGGAGACGUAUAACUAUACUGUAGAUUUGAUAUUUUUACAAGGCCUUUAGCCACAGUGUGCCCACAGCGCACUGCUCGUAAUUCUGCAGGUAAAUUUCACUCUUUCG